CAUGGCUCAGGAUGAACGCUGACAGAAUGCUUAACACAUGCAAGUCAAUGGGGAAACGGUGCUUGCACCGUGAUAACCAUGGCGGACGGGUGAGUAACGCGUAAAGAACUUGCCUCUUAGUCUGGGAUAACAGAUGGAAACGACUGAUAAGACUAGAUAUUAUUAAAGUUUCGCAUGAAGCUUUAAUGAAAAGAGAUGCUAAGAGAGAGCUUUGCGUCCUAUUAGUUAGUUGGUGAGGUAACGGCUCACCAAGACGAAGAUAGGUAGCCGGUCUGAGAGGAUGAACGGCCACAAGGGGACUGAGAUACGGCCCUUACUCUUACGG
Molecule: ribosomal RNA, 325 nt
Filed under: uncultured bacterium
Lineage: Bacteria
Description: bacterial SSU rRNA
Rfam family: Bacterial small subunit ribosomal RNA
Source: RNAcentral